Molecule: ribosomal RNA, 1598 nt
Filed under: Otidiphaps nobilis
Lineage: Eukaryota; Metazoa; Chordata; Aves; Columbiformes; Columbidae
Description: 16S ribosomal RNA
Rfam family: Bacterial large subunit ribosomal RNA
Source: RNAcentral
AGCCCAACUCUAGCCCAACCACUACACAACCAAACACACUUAAAAAUCCACUCAACCCUUUAAACCAAAACAUUUCCGUAGACCUAGUAUAGGCGAUAGAAAAGACUAUCAGGCGCGAUAGAGACCCGUACCGUAAGGGAAAGAUGAAAUAACAGUGAACAAGCCAAGCAAUAAACAGCAAAGAUAAAUCCUUGUACCUCUUGCAUCAUGAUUUAGCAAGAACAACCAAGCAAAGCGGACUUAAGCUUGCCACCCCGAAACCCAAGCGAGCUACUUACGAGCAGCUAUCCUUGAGCGAACCCAUCUCUGUUGCAAAAGAGUGGGAUGACUUGUUAGUAGAGGUGAAAAGCUAAUCGAGCUGGGUGAUAGCUGGUUACCUGUGAAAUGAAUCUUAGUUCUGCCUUGACGCCUCCUCCAAGGACCUUCAGCUACCCCAAUGAAGCGAGUCAAGAGUAAUUUAAAGGAGGUACAGCUCCUUUAAAAAAGAACACAACCUCUCCCAGCGGAUAAUUCCUACUCCUAUAGACAACUCAACUGUGGGCCUUCAAGCAGCCACCAACAAAGAAUGCGUCAAAGCUCCAUUCCUACAAAGAUCCAAAAACUACACGAUUCCCUCAUCACCAACAGGUCAACCUAUAAUAAUAGGAGAAUUAAUACUAAAAUGAGUAACUAGGGUGUACCCCUCUUCAGCACAAACUUACAUCCACACAUUAUUAACAGACAACUAAUACCCCCACCACAACAAGACCACAUAUUUAACCCUCUGUUAACCCAACUCAGGAGUGCAUACUAGAAAGAUUAAAUUCUGUAAAAGGAACUAGGCAAACCCUAAGGCCCGACUGUUUACCAAAAACAUAGCCUUCAGCCAGACCAAGUAUUGAAGGUGAUGCCUGCCCAGUGACUCCAUGUUCAACGGCCGCGGUAUCCUAACCGUGCGAAGGUAGCGCAAUCAAUUGUCCCAUAAAUCGAGACUUGUAUGAAUGGCUAAACGAGGUCUUAACUGUCUCUUACAGACAAUCAGUGAAAUUGAUCCCCCUGUGCAAAAGCAGGGAUAAACACAUAAGACGAGAAGACCCUGUGGAACUUAAAAAUCAGCAGCCACCCCAUAAUAAAACUCAACCUACUAGGCCUACCACUACAACAACGUUGGCCUGCAUUUUUUCGGUUGGGGCGACCUUGGAGAAAUACGAAUCCUCCAAAAAUAAGACCACCCUCUUAACCAAGAGCAACCCCUCAACGUACUAAUAGUAACCAGACCCAAUAUAAUUGAUCAAUGGACCAAGCUACCCCAGGGAUAACAGCGCAAUCCCCUUUAAGAGCCCAUAUCGACAAGGGGGUUUACGACCUCGAUGUUGGAUCAGGACAUCCUAAUGGUGCAGCCGCUAUUAAGGGUUCGUUUGUUCAACGAUUAAUAGUCCUACGUGAUCUGAGUUCAGACCGGAGUAAUCCAGGUCGGUUUCUAUCUAUGAUAAACUUUCCCCAGUACGAAAGGACCGGAAAAGUGAGGCCAAUGCUUCAACACACGCCUCCUCUCUAAGUAAUGACCUCAACUAAAUUACCAAUAGACCUCCCACAACACCUAAUCCUAGAAAAGGACA